RNAcentral lists this non-coding RNA (98 nucleotides) under Schistosoma japonicum. The record is from RNAcentral. Lineage: Eukaryota; Metazoa; Platyhelminthes; Trematoda; Strigeidida; Schistosomatidae.
CACUAGGAAUACAUCUGUCAGCUGUUCUCCAUGCACGAUUUUGUAAUGUAGUCCAUCGUAAGAAUCCUGGAUGAUGUUGACGAGUUUUCUUGGUACGC